Molecule: ribosomal RNA, 2971 nt
Filed under: Leptospiraceae bacterium
Lineage: Bacteria; Pseudomonadati; Spirochaetota; Leptospiria; Leptospirales; Leptospiraceae
Description: 23S ribosomal RNA
Rfam family: Bacterial large subunit ribosomal RNA
Source: RNAcentral
UCAAGCGAGUAAGGGCCUGCGAUGGAUGACUAGGCAUCGGCUGGCGAAGAAGGGCGUGGGUUUCUGCGAAAAGCGUCGGGGAGCUGUAACCAAGCUAAGAUCCGGCGGUGCCCGAAUGGGGAAACCCACCAUGCAGUAAUGCAUGGUAUCUGCGCAAGCGGAGGCGAACCCGGGGAACUGAAACAUCUUAGUACCCGGAGGAGAAGAAAUCAAACGAGAUUUCCUGAGUAGCGGCGAGCGAAAGGGGAGAAGCCCAAACCCUUGUCUACGUAGAAGCGUUAGGGCGUUGUAGCAAGGGGGUUGUAGGAUCCGGUGGGCACAGCCUAACCUGUGCCGAGGAGUUACAAAGGCUGGUGGUAGUGGAACCACCUGGAAAGGUGGACCAUAGAGGGUGAUAGUCCCGUACACGAAACUGCCAGCUCUCCUGCCGGAGAUCCUGAGUACGAUCUGGCACGUGGAACCAGGUCGGAAGCAGGGGGGACCACCCUCCAAGGCUAAAUACACGCCGAUGACCGAUAGUGAACGAGUACCGUGAGGGAAAGUUGAAAAGAACCCCGAGAGGGGAGUGAAAUAGAGCCUGAAAUCGCAGGUUUACAAGGUGUCGUAGCCACGAGUUGGCGGCGGCGUUCCUUUUGCAGAAUGAGCCGGCGAGUUACUCUAUGCUGCGAGGUUAGGGGAGUUAAUUCCUGAGCCGGAGCGAAAGCGAGUCCGAAGAGGGCGAUAAGUGGCAUGGAGUAUGACCCGAAGCCGGGUGAUCUACCCAUGGGCAGGAUGAAGCGUGUGUAAAAGCACGUGGAGGUCCGAACCGGUUGGCGUUGAAAAGCCAUCGGAUGACCUGUGGGUAGGGGUGAAAGGCCAAACAAACUCGGCGAUAGCUGGUUCUCCCCGAAAUAGCUUUAGGGCUAGCGUCAUGAGAUGAGUUAGGGGGGUAGAGCGCUGAAAGGGAUCAGGGGGCUUAGCGGCCUACCGAACCCUAUCAAACUUCGAAUACCCUAACUUAAAUCAUGGCAGUCAGAGCAUGUGGGAUAAGCUUCAUGCUCGAGAGGGAAAGAGCCCAGACCGACAGCUAAGGUCUCGAAGUCUAUGCUAAGUGUGAUGAAAGGAUGUGGGGGUGCGGAGACAGCCAGGAGGUUGGCUUAGAAGCAGCCAUCCUUUAAAGAGUGCGUAAUAGCUCACUGGUCGAGCAUCCUUGCGCCGAAAAUGUAAGGGGCUAAAGCAUAGCACCGAAGCUUCGGAGCUGCGAAAGCAGUUGGUAGGGGAGCGAUGUGCACAGCGCUGAAGGUAUGCUGGAAGGUAUACUGGAGCGUGCACAUGUGAGAAUGCCGGCAUGAGUAGCGAUAAAGGAGGUGAGAUUCCUCCUCGCCGUAAGUCCAAGGGUUCCCUGGCAAGGCCAAUCCGCCGGGGGUUAGCCGGGACCUAAGGUGAACCCGAGAGGGGUAGCCGAUGGGAAGCGGGUUUAUAUUCCUGCGCCACCGGUAUAGCGUUUGAGCGAUGGGGUGACCCAGGAGGGUAUGCUAGCGUAGAGAUGGUAUUCUACGUGUCUGCAUGUAGGCUGAGAGGCAGGUAGGCAAAUCCGCCUGCUGAGCUGAGGUGUGGACGGAGUGCAUCUACGGGUGCACGAAGUAGCAGAGCCCACACUGGCGAGAAAAACCUCUAAGCGAGUUAUACUGGUGCCCGUACCGGAAACGGACACACGUGGACGAGGUGAGCAACCUAAGGCGCUCGGGAGAAUGCCUGCUAAGGAACUCGGCAAAAUGGCCCCGUAACUUCGGGAGAAGGGGUGCCACUUAUGGUGAAGUGCAUUACGCAUGGAGCCGUGAGUGGUCGCAGUGAAGAGGGAGCGGCGACUGUUUACCAAAAACACAGGUCUCUGCGAACUCGUAAGAGGACGUAUAGGGGCUGACACCUGCCCGGUGCCGGAAGGUUAAGGGGACGGGUUAGCCCGCGAGGGCGAAGCUCGGAACCGAAGCCCCGGUAAACGGCGGCCGUAACUAUGACGGUCCUAAGGUAGCGAAAUUCCUUGUCGGGUAAGUUCCGACCCGCACGAAUGGUGUAACGACUGCUUCGCUGUCUCGGCAGGCAGCCCGGCGAAAUUCUAGAGCCCGUGAAGAUGCGGGCUACCCGCAGCUGGACGGAAAGACCCCGUGAACCUUUACUGUAGCCUGGCAUUGAACUUUGGUUCGGUAUGUGUAGGAUAGGUGGGAGGCGGAGAAGCCUGGACGCCAGUUCAGGUGGAGCCGACCUUGAAAUACCACCCUUAUCGAGCUGGGGUUCUAACCUACGAAAGUAGGGACAGUGUUAGGUGGGCAGUUUGACUGGGGCGGUCGCCUCCUAAAGGGUAACGGAGGCGCCCAAAGGUUCCCUCAGCACGGCUGGAAAUCGUGCGUAGAGUGUAAAGGCAGAAGGGAGCCUGACUGUGAGACUGACAGGUCGAGCAGGGACGAAAGUCGGGCUUAGUGAUCCGGUGGUUCUGAGUGGAAGGGCCAUCGCUCAACGGAUAAAAGGUACUCCGGGGAUAACAGGCUUAUCGGUCCCAAGAGUUCAUAUCGACGGACCGGUUUGGCACCUCGAUGUCGGCUCGUCGCAUCCUGGGGCUGGAGUAGGUCCCAAGGGUUUGGCUGUUCGCCAAUUAAAGCGGCACGUGAGCUGGGUUCAGAACGUCGUGAGACAGUUCGGUCCCUAUCCACUGCGGGCGUUGGAGAUUUGAGGGGAGCUGUCCCUAGUACGAGAGGACCGGGAUGGACGGACCGCUAGUGCACCAGUUGUCAUGCCAGUGGCACAGCUGGGUAGCUAUGUCCGGAUGGGAUAACCGCUGAAGGCAUCUAAGCGGGAAGCCCACCCCAAGAUAAGAUCUCCCAUCUGCGAAAGCGGACUGAAGGCGCCUCGAAGACUACGAGGUAGAUAGGUCUCAGGUGUAAGCGCAGUAAUGCGUUGAGCCGAGAGAUACUAAUAUGCCGUGAGGCUUGACCAU